AACGAACGCUGAUGGCGUGCCUCAUACAUGCAAGUCGAGCGCACCGCAAGGUGAGCGGCGAACGGGUGAGUAACGCGUGAACAAUCUGCCUCAAAGUGGGGGGAUAACCAUUCCAACGGAUGGCUAAUACCGCAUAGGGUUUGGAAGUGGCAUCACUUCUUCACGAAAGCAUUUAUGCGCUUUGAGAUGAGUUCGCGUCC
RNAcentral lists this ribosomal RNA (200 nucleotides) under uncultured bacterium. RNAcentral describes it as "partial 16S ribosomal RNA". It matches the Rfam family "Bacterial small subunit ribosomal RNA", at positions 29 to 238 of the family's 1533-position model. The record is from RNAcentral.